RNAcentral lists this ribosomal RNA (564 nucleotides) under uncultured Glomeromycotina. Its description in RNAcentral is "SSU rRNA". It matches the Rfam family "Eukaryotic small subunit ribosomal RNA", at positions 548 to 1114 of the family's 1831-position model. Lineage: Eukaryota; Fungi; Glomeromycota. The record is from RNAcentral.
UUGGAGGGCAAGUCUGGUGCCAGCAGCCGCGGUAAUUCCAGCUCCAAUAGCGUAUAUUAAAGUUGUUGCAGUUAAAAAGCUCGUAGUUGAAUUUCGGGAUCAAAUUGUCGGUCGUGCCUCGGUACGCACUGGUAUUAUUGGUUCCUACCUUCUGAAGAACCGCGAUGUCACUAAUUUGGUGUCGUGGGGAAUCAGGACUGUUACUUUGAAAAAAUUAGAGUGUUUAAAGCAGGCUUACGCUUGAAUACAUUAGCAUGGAAUAAUGAAAUAGGACGUUUGAUUCUAUUUUGUUGGUUUCUAGGAUUGACGUAAUGAUUAAUAGGGAUAGUUGGGGGCAUUAGUAUUCAAUUGUCAGAGGUGAAAUUCUUGGAUUUAUUGAAGACUAACUACUGCGAAAGCAUUUGCCAAGGAUGUUUUCAUCAAUCAAGAACGAAAGUUAGGGGAUCGAAGACGAUCAGAUACCGUCGUAGUCUUAACCAUAAACUAUGCCGACUAGGGAUCGGAUGAUGUUAAUUUUUUAAUGACUCAUUCGGCGCCUUACGGGAAACCAAAGUGUUUGGGUUC